Molecule: non-coding RNA, 83 nt
Filed under: Pontibacillus halophilus
Lineage: Bacteria; Bacillati; Bacillota; Bacilli; Caryophanales; Bacillaceae
Also listed under: 1 other name
Description: c-di-GMP-II sequence
Rfam family: Cyclic di-GMP-II riboswitch aptamer
Source: RNAcentral
UAACGAACGGAAGCGAUAAAGGACUAUCUGUAUAUGGGCACUUGGGUAGUCUGGAGCGAGUAGUGCAACCGACCAGAAUCUGA